CUCAAAUUUGAAAUCUGGCUCUUUCAGAGUCCGAGUUGUAAUUUGAAGAAGGUAUCUUUGGGUCUGGCUCUUGUCUAUGUUUCUUGGAACAGAACGUCACAGAGGGUGAGAAUCCCGUGCGAUGAGAUGAUCCAGGCCUAUGUAAAGUUCCUUCGAAGAGUCGAGUUGUUUGGGAAUGCAGCUCUAAGUGGGUGGUAAAUUCCAUCUAAAGCUAAAUAUUGGCGAGAGACCGAUAGCGAACAAGUACAGUGAUGGAAAGAUGAAAAGAACUUUGAAAAGAGAGUGAAAAAGUACGUGAAAUUGUUGAAAGGGAAGGGCUUGAGAUCAGACUUGGUAUUUUGUAUGUUACUUCUUCGGGGGUGGCCUCUACAGUUUAUCGGGCCAGCAUCAGUUUGGGCGGUAGGAGAAUUGCGUUGGAAUGUGGCACGGCUUCGGUUGUGUGUUAUAGCCUUCGUCGAUACUGCCAGCCUAGACUGAGGACUGCGGUUUA
Molecule: ribosomal RNA, 490 nt
Filed under: Candida tropicalis
Lineage: Eukaryota; Fungi; Ascomycota; Pichiomycetes; Serinales; Debaryomycetaceae
Description: LSU rRNA
Rfam family: Eukaryotic large subunit ribosomal RNA
Source: RNAcentral